RNAcentral lists this ribosomal RNA (595 nucleotides) under Candidatus Moeniiplasma glomeromycotorum. RNAcentral describes it as "bacterial SSU rRNA". It matches the Rfam family "Bacterial small subunit ribosomal RNA", at positions 584 to 1189 of the family's 1533-position model. Lineage: Bacteria; Bacillati; Mycoplasmatota; Mollicutes; Mycoplasmatales; Mycoplasmataceae. The record is from RNAcentral.
UAAGUUACUGAUUGAUGCCAAACUCAAUUUGACGGAAGUUGGUAAUACUGUUCUGCUAGAGGGCAGAAGAGGUUGAUGGAAUUCUGUGAGGAGCGGUGAAAUGCGUUGAUCUGCAGAGGAACACCAAAAAAGGCGAAGGCAUUCAACUAUUCUGUUCCUGACAUUGAGGCAUGAAAGCGUGGGGAGCAAACCGGAUUAGAUACCCGGGUAGUCCACGCCCUAAACGAUGAGCAUUAGAUAUUAGACGUUAAGUUUAGUGUCGCCGCUAACGCUGUAAAUGCUCCGCCUGGGUACUACGGCCGCAAGGCUAAAACUCAAAGGAAUUGACGGGGACCCGCACAAGCGGUGGAGCAUGUGGUUCAAUUCGAUACGACGCGCAGAACCUUACCAAGGCUUGACAUGGAGGGCAAAGUUGAAGAAAUUCAACAGAGGUUAUCCCGACACAGGUGGUGCAUGGUCGUCGUCAGUUCGUGCUGUGAAGCGUAUGCUUAAGUGCUAUAACGAACGCAACCCUCAUAUUUAGUUGCUACCAUUCAGUUGAGAACUCUAAAUAGACUGCUAAGAAAACUUAGAGGAAGGUGAGGAUGACGUCUGG